AAUUGAUCUGAAAUUAGUUUGGAGAGUUUCGUUGUGUAAGGUAUAAUUGAUUGUCACCCUCACAUCUGCUAUAUGGCUGCAAAAUCUCCUUGAUCUUGUGUUUACGUUAUGCUUUCGUAGUCGUAUAUUUGUCACCUUACUGUGGUGAAAUUCUCAAAAUCAUUAAAUUCAAUUCGCCGACGUUAGAGAGCAAGUGAAAUACGAAUGUUAUUUUAACUGUUUAGGGAGGGCAGAAGAAACGACCUGCAGAAGCUCAGAAUGCUAUUUUGAGAAAGCACAUGAGGGAACUCACGCAAAGUUUCAUUAUACCAUUGGAACGUUACGCUGCUAGUUUGAUGCCUUUACAAAGAAGUAUUUCUCCGUGGAAGCUACCCCCAAAACUUAAGUCUUUCGAUGCCGAAGAGUUUUUGAAAACAGUUGAACAUUCUGGUCCCCAACUUACGACUGGAUUAAAGGAGACUGGAAA
Xenia sp. Carnegie-2017 is the source of this 466-nucleotide long non-coding RNA. RefSeq lists it as uncharacterized. The record is from RefSeq and is a predicted model, not a curated record. The transcript has 4 exons. NCBI's taxonomy places the organism in Eukaryota, Metazoa, Cnidaria, Anthozoa, Malacalcyonacea, Xeniidae.